RNAcentral lists this ribosomal RNA (500 nucleotides) under uncultured bacterium. RNAcentral's name for it is "bacterial SSU rRNA". It matches the Rfam family "Bacterial small subunit ribosomal RNA", at positions 28 to 505 of the family's 1533-position model. The record is from RNAcentral.
GACGAACGCUGGCGGCGUGCUUAACACAUGCAAGUCGAACGGGAACCUUUAUUUCGGUAAAGGUGAGAGUGGCAAACGGGUGAGUAACACGUAGGCAACCUGCCGACAGGAUGGGGACAACAUUCCGAAAGGAAUGCUAAUACCGAAUGAAGUCACCGGAGGGCAUCCUCUGGUGAUGAAAGAUGGCCUCUGAAUAUGCUAUCACCUGUCGAUGGGCCUGCGUCUGAUUAGCCAGUUGGCGGGGUAACGGCCCACCAAAGCGACGAUCAGUAGCCGGUCUGAGAGGAUGAACGGCCACAUUGGGACUGAGACACGGCCCAGACUCCUACGGGAGGCAGCAGUGGGGAAUCUUCCACAAUGGGCGAAAGCCUGAUGGAGCAACGCCGCGUGAGUGAAGAAGGUCUUCGGAUCGUAAAGCUCUGUUGCACGGGACGAAAACUGGGUUUGAGAACAUUUAACCUGGGUGACGGUACCGAGCGAGGAAGCCACGGCUACUCUCC